CGUGUGUGAUGACACCUUGGAAAUGCUGUAACCUCCCGACUGCGCUAUGGGGGAGACAACCUUGGAGAGCUGAGCGUGCG
This 80-nucleotide small nucleolar RNA is filed under the name Balaenoptera musculus (blue whale). The record is from RNAcentral. Lineage: Eukaryota; Metazoa; Chordata; Mammalia; Artiodactyla; Balaenopteridae.